Molecule: microRNA precursor, 78 nt
Filed under: Cricetulus griseus (Chinese hamster)
Lineage: Eukaryota; Metazoa; Chordata; Mammalia; Rodentia; Cricetidae
Description: miRNA (ENSCGRG00001004709.1)
Source: RNAcentral
CCUGGAACUCACUCUGUAGACCAGGCUGGCCUCUAAUUCACAGAGAUCUGCCUGCCUCUGCCUCUCAAGUGCUGGGAU